RNAcentral lists this transfer RNA (73 nucleotides) under Ovis aries (sheep). It matches the Rfam family "tRNA". From Rfam's summary of the family: Transfer RNA (tRNA) molecules are approximately 80 nucleotides in length. Their secondary structure includes four short double-helical elements and three loops (D, anti-codon, and T loops). Further hydrogen bonds mediate the characteristic L-shaped molecular structure. tRNAs have two regions of fundamental functional importance: the anti-codon, which is responsible for specific mRNA codon recognition, and the 3' end, to which the tRNAs corresponding amino acid is attached (by aminoacyl-tRNA synthetases). tRNAs cope with the degeneracy of the genetic code in two manners: having more than one tRNA (with a specific anti-codon) for a particular amino acid; and 'wobble' base-pairing, i.e. permitting non-standard base-pairing at the 3rd anti-codon position. Lineage: Eukaryota; Metazoa; Chordata; Mammalia; Artiodactyla; Bovidae. The record is from Rfam by way of RNAcentral.
UUCCCGGUGGUCCAGUGGUUAGGACUCCACACUCCCAAUGCAGGGGGCCCAGGUUCAAUACCUGCUCAGGGAA